CUCCACCCUUCACUCGCCUCAUUGUGCCCAGGCAGCACCAAGGUCAGAAAUUAAUUGGAGACACUGCAAAACACACAGCCUGUAAUAUUUCAGUUCAGUGAGGUCACAAGAAAAACUCAGUUAAAGCCUUAUUAGAGCAGUUUACAGGAGCACAUUACUGCGAAUAUGAAAUGAGAGUCUUGUCUUGAUGGAUGCGUCACCUACCCAAGAUAUUUGUUGAGAAUAAUUUGAAAAUCACCCCCGUACAUGGUUGUAUAUUCUUCGUUGUGGGUCCUUCUAGUUGUGGCAUGUGGGACGCUGCCUCAGCGUGGUUUGACGAGCAGUGCCAUGUCCGCGCCCAGGAUUCGAACCAACGAAACACUGGGCCGCCUGCAGCGGAGCGCGCGAACUUAACCACUCGGCCACGGGGCCAGCCCCUGCAAUUAAUAUUUUUAUCCGACUAAAAUCCUCAACUUGGGAUCAGACGAGGGUCUAGCAUGAAAAAGGGGCCUGAUCUCAAGAGGCCCAAGAAUCCUCUACCUACGGCUGGCAGAUGAAGAAAAGAAAUCGGAGGAGGCACACUGUCUACAGGUGGAAAGUGGCAAAUUCAGGAUUCCAACCUUCAUUUUCUCACUUCAACGCCACCACUCCUAACCACCAUCCUGUACAAUGCCCCUAUCGCCAUGGCCUGGGGCCAAGACAUGGCUGAUGAAUGGUGUAGUUCUGCACCUGGGAUCCGAACCUGCAAACCCCGGGGCCACCAAAGUGGAGUGCAAGGAAAUCUAACCACUUGGCCAUGGGGCCAUCCUCAACAGCACAUAUCUUUUAAUAGAUGAAAUUUAAUUUGAAGCAAGGCAUGGUUCUUUCUCCAUCCCAACUCUGACUGGGCAGCAUGCCAUCAUCCUGGGGCAGCCGCCACCAAUGUACUCGUCUG
RNAcentral lists this long non-coding RNA (913 nucleotides) under Equus caballus (horse). RNAcentral describes it as "lncRNA (ENSECAG00000057533.1)". Lineage: Eukaryota; Metazoa; Chordata; Mammalia; Perissodactyla; Equidae. The record is from RNAcentral.